AAGCGAAACCGGGGGCUUUACUCCGGUCGUCAUAGGGUUGCGCCUAUGGCCUGAUGAGCAGCUUAUU
This 67-nucleotide non-coding RNA is filed under the name Brucella sp. 10RB9213. Lineage: Bacteria; Pseudomonadati; Pseudomonadota; Alphaproteobacteria; Hyphomicrobiales; Brucellaceae. The record is from RNAcentral.